GAUAAACGCUGGCGGCGUGCCUAAUGCAUGCAAGUCGAACGGGUUGCUUCGGCAACCAGUGGCGAAUGGGUGAGUAACGCGUAAGAACCUACCCUUAAGUGGGGGAUAACCUCGAGAAAUCGGGGCUAAUACCGCAUACGCUCCCCGAUUAAGAUCGGGGAGGAAAGCUGAGGCGCUUGAGGAAGGGCUUGCGUCCGAUUAGCUCGUUGGUGGGGUAAUGGCUCACCAAGGCCAAGAUCGGUGGCUGGUCUGAGAGGAUGAUCAGCCACACUGAGACUGAGAUACGGCCCAGACUCCUACGGGAGGCAGCAGCAAGGAAUAUUGGGCAAUGGGCGAAAGCCUGACCCAGCGACACCGCGUGGGGGAAGAAGGCCUUCGGGUUGUAAACCCCUUUUCCCAGGGAAGAAUAAUGACGGUACCUGAGGAAUAAGUCUCGGCUAACUACGUGCCAGCAGCCGCGGUAAUACGUAGGAGGCAAGCGUUAUCCGGAUUUACUGGGCGUAAAGAGGGUGCAGGCGGUCCUUCAAGUCGGGUGUGAAAUCUCCUGGCUCAACUAGGAGGGGUCAUCCGAUACUGUUGGGCUAGAGGGCAGCAGAGGGAGGUGGAAUUCCCGGUGUAGUGGUGAAAUGCGUAGAUAUCGGGAGGAACACCAGUGGCGAAGGCGGCCUCCUGGGCUGUGCCUGACGCUGAGGCCCGAAAGCGUGGGGAGCAAACAGGAUUAGAUACCCUGGUAGUCCACGCUGUAAACUAUGGACACUAGGUAUGGGGGGUAUCGACCCUCUCCGUGCCGAAGCUAACGCUUUAAGUGUCCCGCCUGGGGAUUACGGUCGCAAGACUA
This 838-nucleotide ribosomal RNA is filed under the name uncultured Chloroflexota bacterium. RNAcentral's name for it is "bacterial SSU rRNA". It matches the Rfam family "Bacterial small subunit ribosomal RNA", at positions 28 to 896 of the family's 1533-position model. Lineage: Bacteria; Bacillati; Chloroflexota. The record is from RNAcentral.